AUUUUGCUGCAGCUGUGUUUGAUGCAGCGAUUGUCAUGUGAGGGAUUACUGGUGGAUUUAAUUGAUGUGCAGAUUGAUGUAAAUCGGUCUUGCCUUUGACAAAUUGGCGAUUUGUCUUUGAUGCACAAUGUUGCUUUGGUGUAAAAAAACAAACAAAACAGCAGCAUAUUUUUUAUUGUUGAAUGUGUGUAAAAUUUUUAACCCAAAAUGUAUGGUGUGAGUUAACUUUUGAAGCAAAUGUAUUGGCAUGCGUAGACCGUUACCUGCACUUAAACAUCGAUUUGUAUGAUUGAGGCAGUGUACAAACAAUAUUGGGUGGUGAUGCUACUUGAAGCCCAAUGCUUUCAGACGUCUGUGUCAGCUGCCCACAAAACCCAGAGCUGGCUGCGUGCUUCCCUAUACAGGACCGAGGGCCAGACCCGAACGGCUGGAAGAACCGACUGGGAACCUGUGAGCAACACAGAUUGAUACAAUUCACAAGCAGGCUUUACAGUACGAGUAUAAGCUGUUGGGUAAUAAUACACCUCAAAGGUGUUGUGAGAAGGCACAA
Acipenser ruthenus (sterlet) is the source of this 550-nucleotide long non-coding RNA. RefSeq lists it as uncharacterized. NCBI's taxonomy places the organism in Eukaryota, Metazoa, Chordata, Actinopteri, Acipenseriformes, Acipenseridae. The transcript has 3 exons. The record is from RefSeq and is a predicted model, not a curated record.